Non-coding RNA from Canis lupus familiaris (dog), 45 nucleotides. Lineage: Eukaryota; Metazoa; Chordata; Mammalia; Carnivora; Canidae. The record is from Rfam.
CCUCAGGAUUUUUUUAAAUCCACAAAAUGGGAAUUAUAAUUGCAG